UUGAACAAUGUAGGUAAAGGAAGUCGGCAAAUUGGAUCCGUAACUUCGGGAGAAGGAUAGGCGCUGGGGGCCGAGUCAGACAGGCCGAGAUCAGAUACGUGUCGGUCCAGUUGGGGGCUGGUUUCUUUGCUGCUUUGUGUGCUUCGGUGCGCGUUGUGGUGAGGUUACUGGACUCUGACCCGGGUCGAUCGUGGGCGGUUUCAGCUGUUAGUGUCGUGCAGCUAGCAACGCGCGAGGACAUGUUCCACGUUGCGUCAAGCGGCUGUACUUCCAUGGUCUGGCGCGCGACGGCUAACUCAGAACUGGCACGGACCAGGGGAAUCCGACUGUCUAAUUAAAACAAAGCAUUGCGAUGUCCACUGAUUGGUUUUGACGCAAUGUGAUUUCUGCCCAGUGCUCUGAAUGUCAAAGUGAAGAAAUUCAACCAAGCGCGGGUAAACGGCGGGAGUAACUAUGACUCUCUUCCGGUGAACAGCACGCUGCUUUCCUCGGUGUUCUGAGUUUUUGGUCGUAUUUUCGUUCCUUCUACGUAGUUUCCAGAUAACUUCAGUCAUUUCAAUACUACUGAAGACGGUGAUUCUGGACGUAUAGGUUUUUCUUGAUAACUGGCGACAUCUGUCCCCCCAGCCAAAACACCAGGCUGGGGGGAUUCAUAUUUCUCGACAAACGUAUCAUCCUCGUGGUUCUGAAAAGAAAUCCUUACUUCACGGAUCACAAAUUGGUGAAUAACAUUCCUUGUACAAUCCUAAACAUAAACCCUUUGGAUUAUUAUAACUCUUUGGACGAAACUCUUCGUUCGGUAAGUAUGCAAAACAUCUUGAAUACUUUACUCUUUAUUCUUGGAACAUCAUUCGAAUACUUGUUGCUAUUAGCCUUGAUAUUAUUGAUACUAUUUUUAAAAUAAGUCCAUUCUUAUAUACACUAUGAGUAUCCGCUUAACAUGCAUUUGUAUCAUAUUUUUAAGUCUGUGUGUUUUGCCUAUUUUGUUUUGAAUCCAUCAUCCACUUCUCAUACCAUCUAUCAUCUUUUCGCCAUUUUUAUUGUACUGUUCGCCGCUGCAUUUACUUCCACUGUGUUUCUUAACCAUUUUCUACGCAUGCUACAACCCUAUAUUAGACUGUUGGACACGGCUUUUCACCAUAUUUUGAAAGUGUGUGUGUUUUGCCUAUUUCGUUUUUGAAUCCAUCAUCCACUUCUCAUAUAAUCUAUCAUCUUUUCGCCAUCUUUUAUUGUACUGUUCGCCGCUGCAUUUACUUCCACUGUGUUUCUCUACCAUUUUUUUGGAGGAGCACACUACUAUCGAGGUUUUUCUGUAUCACACUCCAUCUUUUAUUUUACUGUUUACUGUUAUCUUCGUCUUUAUUGGUCUCAUUGUCAUCAUCGUAUUCUUUUGACAUUAUAAAUCUUCCUUCAUCUACUUUGUUUCUGAUACAUUCGGAUCUAGAUAAUUAGUCACGGAGAGGGCCUAUGAACGGUCCGUGACACGAAACUCACCACCAAUUUCGUCCUCUUGUGCUAUUAAAUAUGCCCAAAUAGUUUCAAUUUUGGAGAAGCACUCUACUGUCAAGGUUUUUCUGUAUCAGAAACAGAGUAGAUGAAGGAUGAUUUAUAAUGUCAAAAGAAUACGAUGAUGACAAUGAGACCAAUAAAGACGAAGAUAACAGUAAACAGUAAAAUAAAGGAUGGAGUGUGAUACAGAAAAACCUCGAUAGUAGUGUGCUCCUCCUUAACACCUGUAUAAUUAGUCACGGAGAGGGCCUAUGAACGGUCAGUGACGUGAGAUUCACUACGAAUUUCGUCCUCUUCUGUUAGUGGCCACCGAAAUACGGAACCUCUGGCAUGUCAGUUGUGUUAAAAAUAAUAAAAUAACGAAGCCGGUCUCUACCAGCGCGGAAACUGACACAUCCUGUUUUUGUUCCUUUUCUUCUUAUUUCCUACUGUUCCAUCCCCUUUGUUUUUUUGUUUUCUUUUCUUUGUUUUUUUCCUUUCUUCUCUCUUCUUUCGCCUUCUCCUUCUUGCCUAUUGCUGUCUCAUUAAUUACUCCGCUCAACUAAGCUUGUAACGUUUUCUCACACCUUUUCAAUGUGCUUUGCUGAUUCUUCACCCACGAGACCGCUUCCUUAUAAUUUGGUGGGUACUCAUGCACUGGUUGCCUUCAUUCGCCUGUCCACAGUAGAUUCUGAUUGUUAUUAAUAACAUCAUUAUUAUUAUUAUUGUUAUUAAUGCCAUUAUUAUCAUUACUUCACCAUUAUUAUUAUUAUUACUAUUAUUAUUAUUAUUACUAUAGUUAUUCCUAUUUGCCUAUCUGUGCAUUUCGAAAACUUAACAUGUUUUAAUUCUAUCAUCUUCCAAUUCUCCUUCUUCGUCUUCAAUUUUUCUCUGAUACAACCUUGUAAUUCAGUGUAACAGAACACCUUGUUUACACAUCUUAAGUAUUUAAUUUUGUGCCAAACCCAUCUGGGUCUGUACAAUUUGAUACUUAAAAAUAAAUGUUACUAGCCAAAUGCCUCGUCAUCUAAUUAGUGACACGCAUGAAUGGAUUAACGAGAUUCCCACUGUCCCUAUCUACUAUCUAGCGAAACCACAGCCAAGGGAAUGGGCUUGG
Molecule: ribosomal RNA, 2605 nt
Organism: Schistosoma mansoni
Lineage: Eukaryota; Metazoa; Platyhelminthes; Trematoda; Strigeidida; Schistosomatidae
Rfam family: Eukaryotic large subunit ribosomal RNA
Source: Rfam